This 356-nucleotide ribosomal RNA is filed under the name uncultured Tricholoma. Its description in RNAcentral is "5.8S ribosomal RNA". The stretch from base 1 to 154 matches the Rfam family "5.8S ribosomal RNA". Lineage: Eukaryota; Fungi; Basidiomycota; Agaricomycetes; Agaricales; Tricholomataceae. The record is from RNAcentral.
AACUUUCAACAACGGAUCUCUUGGCUCUCGCAUCGAUGAAGAACGCAGCGAAAUGCGAUAAGUAAUGUGAAUUGCAGAAUUCAGUGAAUCAUCGAAUCUUUGAACGCACCUUGCGCUCCUUGGUAUUCCGAGGAGCAUGCCUGUUUGAGUGUCAUGAAAUUCUCAACCUUUUCAGCUUUUUGUUGAAUAGGCUUGGAUUUUGGGAGUUGUUGCAGGCUGCUCAGAAGUCUGCUCUCCUUAAAUGUAUUAGCGGGGCCCUUGUUGUCUAGCAUUUGGUGUGAUAAUUAUCUACGCCAUUGUGAACAAUGUAAUAGGUCGGCUUCUAAUCGUCUCGUAAAGAGACAAUCUCUGACAUU